ACAAAGUUUUAUUCUUGCUUGGAUAUUUAUUUUAACAUUAUUAUAUAUGUAAGUUUUUGCAUUAUUUAUUAAUUUUUCUUAAAGGAUUUUUAAUUUGUUGUUUGCAGUAUGAAAUAUUAUGAAUUUAAGUAAUUUUGAUUUAGUAAUUGUUAAUAAAUAUUGAUAAAACAUGUGCCAGCAGUCGCGGUUAUACAUGAAAUAUAAGUAAAUAUUAUCAGUUAAAAUAGUUAAUUUGUUUUAUUUUUGAAUUUUGAUUGAUUAUUAUUGGGUGAAAUAUUUAAUAUUUGAUUUAGAUUUAUUUUUUAUUUAAUGAAGCUGUGAAAUCUAAAUUAUAUAAACUAGGAUUAGAUACCCUAUUAUUUUGGAUGUAAAGUAUUUAAACUUGAGUAGUAGUAGUUAAGGACUUGAAACUUAAAGAAUUUGGCGGUAUUUUAGUCUAUUUAGAGGAAUCUGUCCCGUAAUCGAUAACCCGCGUUGGACCUAACUUAAUUUAUUAAAUAUGUAUACCGCCGUUGUUGAAAAUCUUUUUAGAGUGUAAUUUUUAAAAAAUUUAUUGAAUAAUCUUUCAGGUCAAGGUGCAGUUUAUAAUUAAGUGGAGAUGGAUUACAAUAUUUUAUAGUAUAUGGAUUAUUCUUUGUAAUCUUAAGAAUAUGAAGGUGGAUUUAAUAGUAAUUUUUUGAAGAUUGUUAAUUUGACUUUGGCUCUAAAAUAUGCACACAUCGCCCGUCGCUCUCGUUAUAUUUAAGAUGAGAUAAGUCGUAACAUAGUAGUUGUACCGGAAGGUGUAACUAGAAUGUAU
This 799-nucleotide non-coding RNA is filed under the name Jacobsonina sp. The record is from RNAcentral. Lineage: Eukaryota; Metazoa; Arthropoda; Insecta; Blattodea; Blattellidae.